Molecule: ribosomal RNA, 426 nt
Filed under: uncultured bacterium
Lineage: Bacteria
Description: bacterial SSU rRNA
Rfam family: Bacterial small subunit ribosomal RNA
Source: RNAcentral
GGGCCCGCACAAGCGGUGGAGUAUGUGGUUUAAUUCGAUGCAACGCGAAGAACCUUACCAGGGCUUGACAUCCUGCGAACCUCUGUGAAAGCGGAGGGUGCCUUCGGGAACGCAGUGACAGGUGGUGCAUGGCUGUCGUCAGCUCGUGUCGUGAGAUGUUGGGUUAAGUCCCGCAACGAGCGCAACCCACGUCUUUAGUUGCCAGCAUUUAGUUGGGCACUCUAGAGAGACCGCCGGUGACAAACCGGAGGAAGGUGUGGAUGACGUCAAGUCAUCAUGCCCCUUACGUCCUGGGCUACACACGUACUACAAUGCUACGGACAAAGAGCAGCAAGUUCGCGAGGACAAGCAAAUCUCAUAAACCGUGGCUCAGUUCAGAUCGUAGGCUGCAACUCGCCUACGUGAAGGAGGAAUCGCUAGUAAUCG